RNAcentral lists this ribosomal RNA (434 nucleotides) under uncultured Lachnospiraceae bacterium. RNAcentral's name for it is "partial 16S ribosomal RNA". It matches the Rfam family "Bacterial small subunit ribosomal RNA", at positions 341 to 792 of the family's 1533-position model. Lineage: Bacteria; Bacillati; Bacillota; Clostridia; Lachnospirales; Lachnospiraceae. The record is from RNAcentral.
ACGGAAGGCAGCAGUGGGGAAUAUUGCACAAUGGGCGAAAGCCUGAUGCAGCGACGCCGCGUGAGUGAAGAAGUAUCUCGGUAUGUAAAGCUCUAUCAGCAGGGAAGAAAAUGACGGUACCUGACUAAGAAGCCCCGGCUAACUACGUGCCAGCAGCCGCGGUAAUACGUAGGGGGCAAGCGUUAUCCGGAUUUACUGGGUGUAAAGGGAGCGUAGACGGUUUGGCAAGUCUGAAGUGAAAUGCGGGGGCUCAACUCCUGAACUGCUUUGGAAACUGUCGAACUAGAGUGCAGGAGAGGUAAGUGGAAUUCCUGGUGUAGCGGUGAAAUGCGUAGAUAUUAGGAGGAACACCAGUGGCGAAGGCGGCUUACUGGACUGUAACUGACGUUGAGGCUCGAAAGCGUGGGGAGCAAACAGGAUUAGAUACCCUGGUA